RNAcentral lists this unclassified non-coding RNA (147 nucleotides) under uncultured Ascomycota. RNAcentral describes it as "sequence contains ITS1". Lineage: Eukaryota; Fungi; Ascomycota. The record is from RNAcentral.
AAAGAGCCUAAAAACUCUUCUAAAACACCGUGAACGUACCUCUUCUCUCGCUCCGGCAGGGUCCCCCCGGGGGGCUCGGCCACAAGGCACCUGCCGGAGGCUCCAAAGCCUUAAAACAGAGUCUUCUGAGUGGACGCAAAAAGCUUA